GGCUGUUCUAGGGUGAUGCACUCCAGAAUCGGGCUCCCUCCUUUCUGGUUCUGGGUGCGUCACUCGAGAACUGCA
Myotis davidii is the source of this 75-nucleotide non-coding RNA. The record is from Rfam. Lineage: Eukaryota; Metazoa; Chordata; Mammalia; Chiroptera; Vespertilionidae.